CCUUCAAUUCACGUAAAAGCAAAAACAAGAGAAGUCAAACCCUCCUUCCCUCCUAUUCUUUUACGUGAACCAACCAAAACCCUCAAACCUUGCUUCUCUCCUUGCAGCCGCCGCACAGCCACCGCCGGACCGACAACCACCGCGCCGCCGGUCUGCAUCCCUGCUGUCACGCCGGUUAACGUAGCUCUUCCUCCCUUCCGUUAUUCCAUUUUCUCGGCCAACGUUCCUCUUCCUUCUUGCUUCCUGCGCAUUCAACCACCGCCAUGACCAGCGCGCACAACCACCAACGUUUGUCACCUACGCCCAGCCACGCACCACCGUGUGCGACUCUGCCGCCAGCCCUCUUCCGUCGGCCGCAGCCACCACUUCACCCAGCCGCGUCGACCCAUCAACCACCACUGUCACGCGCCACCUUGUGUCUGCCGGCAGCCCUUAUCUAUUCUUCUUUUGGUGGAGAAUUCUCCGUAGGCGACUUUUGAAUUAUUAAAGUGGUCUCGCAUUUUGUUUACACAAGGUACGUACAUACCUGUGUGCUUGGAAUGUGUGCUAAUUGUUGAAACCAUGUUGAAUCUUGUUGUUG
Spinacia oleracea (spinach) is the source of this 580-nucleotide long non-coding RNA. RefSeq lists it as uncharacterized. The record is from RefSeq and is a predicted model, not a curated record. NCBI's taxonomy places the organism in Eukaryota, Viridiplantae, Streptophyta, Magnoliopsida, Caryophyllales, Amaranthaceae. The transcript has 3 exons.